Miniopterus natalensis is the source of this 3010-nucleotide non-coding RNA. Lineage: Eukaryota; Metazoa; Chordata; Mammalia; Chiroptera; Miniopteridae. The record is from RefSeq and is a predicted model, not a curated record.
UGGCCAUAGAAUAAUUUAUUUCAUCAACUAGAACUUAAUCGUAUUCUCAUUCCUAAAUACAAGUAGCUAUGUAUACAAUCAAAAAUCCUUUUACUAUGGAAGAAGAGACAAAUAUCAGAGGGUUCAUUCAAAUUCUUUAGUGUGAUGUCUCAUCAGUUCCUCUGUCUAGCCCUUUUCACCAGUGACUACGUGAACCAUAUACACCACCCCAAAGUCCUGUCACCCUGAGUUGAAAAUGUUUGCCACCACCUCUAAAUCAUGUAGGACUUUUCAUCUGCAUUGUAAUUAUCAUGUGCUGAAGUGUAUUGCUGUCUCUUGUCUAGAUAUGGUCUUCCUUAAGUCAUAAGGUCUCACCACAGUAUAAAUUUUUGGGAGCAGUGACUGUGUCUUAUAUUCUGCAAUGCCUAGUCUAGUGCCUUAUAAAUAAUUGAUUCUUAAAAAAUUCUUCUUAUACUACAAGAGAAAUAAUCUUAAUGACUUCUUGGUUUCUUGUAGAAUUUUAGGAAAGAAAGAUGGAUCAACCUAGCGGAAGGAGUUUUAUGCAAGUAUUAUGUGAGAAAUACAGUCCUGAAAACUUUCCUUACCGCCGUGGUCCUGGGAUGGGAGUCCACGUCCCAGCUACACCUCAGGGUUCUCCUAUGAAAGAUCGCCUCAACCUCCCAAGUGUCCUGGUGUUGAACAGCUGUGGAAUCACCUGUGCAGGGGAUGAAACAGAGAUUGCUGCCUUCUGCGCUCAUGUGUCAGAACUAGAUCUUUCUGACAACAAACUCGAAGACUGGCAUGAGGUCAGUAAAAUUGUGUCAAAUGUUCCCCAGUUGGAGUUUCUAAACCUGAGUUCCAACCCUCUGAAUUUGUCGGUUUUAGAAAGAACAUGUGCUGGGUCCUUCUCUGGAGUUCGCAAACUUGUCCUCAAUAACAGCAAAGCUUCUUGGGAGACAGUCCACACGAUACUGCAGGAGUUACCAGAUUUGGAGGAGCUCUUCCUGUGCCUUAAUGACUAUGAAACGGUGUCCUGUCCUUCUAUUUGCUGUCACUCUCUGAAGCUCCUACACAUUACAGACAAUAACCUCCAAGACUGGACUGAAAUACGGAAGUUAGGAGCUAUGUUUCCUUCCCUGGAUACCCUCGUCCUGGCCAACAAUCACUUGAAUGCUAUUGAGGAGCCCGAUGAUUCACUGGCCGGGUUGUUUCCUAACCUGCGAUCCAUCAGCCUCCAUAAGUCAGGUUUGCAGUCCUGGGAAGACAUUGACAAACUAAAUUCAUUCCCUAAACUUGAAGAAGUGAGAUUGUUAGGAAUUCCUCUUCUGCAGCCAUAUACCACUGAGGAGCGACGGAAGUUGGUAAUAGCCAGAUUGCCAUCAGUUUCCAAGCUUAAUGGCAGUGUUGUUACAGAAGAUGAGCGAGAAGACUCUGAGAGGUUCUUUAUCCGCUACUAUGUGGCUGUCCCACAGGAAGAAGUGCCCUUCAGGUAUCAUGAACUGAUCACAAAAUAUGGGAAGUUGGAGCCUUUGGCAGAAGUGGAUCUAAGACCCCAGAGCAGUGCAAAAGUAGAAGUCCACUUUAACGACCAGGUGGAAGAAAUGAGCAUUCGUCUGGACCAAACAGUUGCGGAACUAAAGAAACAACUAAAAACUCUAGUGCAGUUACCCACAAGCAGCAUGCUUCUGUACCACUUCGACCACGAAGCGCCCUUUGGCCCGGAGGAGAUGAAGUACAGCUCUCGGGCCUUGCACUCCUUUGGCAUUCGGGAUGGAGAUAAGAUCUACGUGGAAUCCAAAACAAAGUAGCCUCUAAGACCAGACUUGUACACACACAAGGAUUCCUGCAGGGCAUUUGUUUCCCCGUGGUUUUCUUUAGGAGGGAGGAGAUUGUUUUUGUUUUGUUUUGCUUUGUUUAGGUUAGGGGGUGGCGUAUAUUUUCCCCCAGAAAGGACAUUUUUUACCAAGAUUUCUUUGGCUCUGCCAGCAGAAUUGGCCACAUCUCCAGCCCAUGUGCCCUCCCUCCUGAGAGGAUGACGACGAAAUCACCGUCUUACUGUGUGUACUGGGGUCGCCUGCUGCUCAGUUGUCGUCACGGUUUAGGUAGACUUGUGAGGACGGCAUGCGCAGCACCUCCCUCAGAAGGGUGUCUCGUGGUACAAAAGUCAGGAAACAAGGAUCUUUGCAGGACUGGCCAGCACUUCUCUCUCCCAGUUCCUCCUCUGCCCUCCCUCUCACUCUUCGUGGGGUUUGUUUGGUUGUUUUUCAUUGUGACUUGUGUCAGCACGUUUGCUAAUAGUUUUAUUCUGUCCAAAAUUAACUUCUCAACUUGAGUGAUGUUUUCCUUCAUUUCUGCCUUUUGAAAUAAUUUUAAGUGUUUUAAGCAUUUUUCAACCUGAUUCUGAUCUCAGGUACUCAAUUAGAACCUAUAACUAUAUUAGGAUCUUGAAGAAGAGUAGAUGGAGAGUUAGAACUCCAGGAAAACUUGCUGUUACUCUGCAAAGCCUGGCAGAGCAGUGUGAUCUCUUUGUAUCUAACUACCCCAGUUUUACUGUUCUUCACGUAUUGUAUCAACCAUUGCUUUUGUAACAUGAAAUAUGUCAGAUUCCAGAGGGUUAUUUUUGCUUAUGGAUGUAUUUCCUCACAUCUUUCUUUCUUUUUCAUUACUUUCAACUGUUGGGAAUAGAGGCCUGACUUUUUGAAGAAUCCAAUAGAGUAAUGCAUAUACGUGCCAGGAGAGCUGAGCAUGAGCUAAUGAACCGCAGUGUGAGCGAGGGAGCAGAGUGGGGAGCAUACGAGAGAAGAGGCUCCUGUGACGCACCUGCCUGGGUCACCCCCUGAAGGCCUUGCUCCUGCACUGUGCAUUAAAAGAGGGAACUAUGGUCAAAGGGAGCUUUGAUUCCCAAUUCUUCCCUGGGAUUUUGUGGUGUCAUAAUUGAACAAUUCGUUUUGUUUUACAGUUUCAUUUAGUUGCCCCUACAGGACAACUCUGACUAAUUUAUGAGUAAAGUAUAAGUGUCAAAACUUCAGAA